GUGGGAUCCACAUGCCUGAAAGUUAGCCACUUCCCAGGACGGAUGCCCACCAACCCUCUGCUCACACCAGCUGUGUCUGCCCUAUUUAGGUACCCAUGCCAGGAAAUAAAAAGCAGGGUCUUGUGUGGCCCAGGCUGGAUUUAAAAUCCGUGGGUAACUGAAGUUGACCUUCAACUCCUGAUCUUCCCAUCUCCAACUCCCAAGAGCUGCACCGAUACGCCCAGCUGACCCUUCUGCCUUAUUGGAAUAAGUCCCCAGCACCAGCUUCUUUUCAGGGUCCAGGUGGAGCCGGACGCCGCCCCCUGGUGGCAGUGCGAGUCUGCGCUCAGGGCUUGGUAAAGACCUCGCGGCAGCGCCGCUAGCUGAUUGGCCCGCAGGGUUUCCAGGCGCUUUGCAAGUCGGCUGAUGCUGGUGGUCCUCAGACUGCAGACCUGCCCCUGCCCCUCGGGAUUCAAAUCCAGACUGGGGCCAGCAAAGCUGGCUUGUGAACCUGAGGAGUUUUCCGUUUCUCUCCCAUCUUUGUUGUGGUCGUGAAUUCCUCCAGGGCUCAGGAUGGCGAUUUGACACC
Microtus oregoni (creeping vole) is the source of this 568-nucleotide long non-coding RNA. RefSeq lists it as uncharacterized. The record is from RefSeq and is a predicted model, not a curated record. NCBI's taxonomy places the organism in Eukaryota, Metazoa, Chordata, Mammalia, Rodentia, Cricetidae. The transcript has 3 exons.